UCCACUUCCGGCCAGGCUGAGGAACUGUCGGUCGCUGAAGAAGGCCGGACUGUGCUGUGGCGUCCACCGAGGCCGAAUCUGGGGACUCCUGGUUGGUGGGCCCUGUCCCCGCCCCCGGAGCGGCUGACGGUCGGGAGAGGUUCGGCGCCCCUUGUCCCUGCAGCAAGGCUCCCAACGGUGCCUUCCGAGUCGGUAUCUUUUGUGUUGUGUCAGAUGAAUGUAGCCCAGAAUGUCUCCAUGGAACCAACAGUGUUUGUAGCCUGGCCAGGCUUGUUGACCGAUGGCUUUUCCCCCCAACACUCCCGAUUUUACAUGGGUUUCAAACAGCUCUUAAACAUGGAAGCCGUCGGGUCCUUCCAUUCUCUUCUACGCGACUUAGGGAAGGUCCCUUGCAGGGAGAGGACCCCAGCGGACGGGAGAGGCUGCGCCUUAAGGAGACAGAAGCGCCCGCCCUCCGGUGAGACGGAGACGAGGCCGCAGUCCCCAGCACAGUGGCUGUGACUUGUCUGCAUCUUUGUGUGGUCAUGACGCACCAGCUGGGAGCUGGCGACCCAGAGGAGCCCAACUAAUGCUCGUGCUCAGACUGGCUCAGUUGCACAGUGAAGAAUCAUGGCUUCACCUGAGUAGAGUUUGGAAGAACUCCUUGGACUGCUGAAGAGAUGAGACUUGUCUGCGUAUGGUACCUACUGUGCACUGGUCCUGUGGGAGAUUCAGAGCUGAAGAAAUCUCAGUCUCAAGUGGAAGAGGACUAGAACAACAGAAAUUCAGACAGGCAGAGGAUCCGAGUCACUCAUCCCAGAUCAGGAAGUCAGUCCAGGAUCCAGGGGCUCCAGAAUGCAGGACAACAGUGCCACAACAAGGCUAAGCUGAGACUCUAGCCUCUCUGCAGCCCGCCUUUAGCCUAGACUCUUCCUCACUGUGUGCUUCCUCACUGCCAGGCCCCAAGCCAAAGGACACAAGCCCAAAGGUGGGCUGUUGUGAAAGCCGAGGACCCUGCAGAAGCCACACUGGGGUCAGAAUCAAUGGCACUACCUUGGGCAGGGAAACAGCAGAAGGCUAUUUUUGAAGCCAUAAAUGCUCAGGGCAUCCUGUGUUGCAAUUAAUAAAUACCAUUGUUGAUAGA
Molecule: long non-coding RNA, 1123 nt
Organism: Psammomys obesus (fat sand rat)
Lineage: Eukaryota; Metazoa; Chordata; Mammalia; Rodentia; Muridae
Exons: 3
Source: RefSeq, a predicted model, not a curated record